AACGUAGGAAGCGAGCGUUAUCCGGAUUUACUGGGCGUAAAGGGCAUGCAGGCGGUCCAUCAAGUUGGAGUUGAAAGCUCUUGGCUAAACUAGGAGAGGUGCUUCAAGACUGAUGGACUAGAGUAUGGUAGAGGAGAGUGGAAUUCCCGGUGUAGUGGUGAAAUGCGUAGAUAUCGGGAGGAACACCAGUGGCGAAAGCGGCUCUCUGGGCCAUAACUGACGCUCAGAUGCGAAAGCCAGGGGAGAGAACGGG
This 253-nucleotide ribosomal RNA is filed under the name uncultured bacterium. RNAcentral's name for it is "partial 16S ribosomal RNA". It matches the Rfam family "Bacterial small subunit ribosomal RNA", at positions 524 to 776 of the family's 1533-position model. The record is from RNAcentral.